GGCGGCAGGCCUAACACAUGCAAGUCGAGCGCGCCUUUCGGGGUGAGCGGCGGACGGGUUAGUAACGCGUGGGAAUAUACCCUUUGGUACGGAAUAGCCUCUGGAAACGGAGAGUAAUACCGUAUGUGCCCUUCGGGGGAAAGAUUUAUCGCCAAAGGAUUAGCCCGCGUUAGAUUAGGUAGUUGGUGGGGUAAUGGCCUACCAAGCCUACGAUCUAUAGCUGGUUUUAGAGGAUGAUCAGCAACACUGGGACUGAGACACGGCCCAGACUCCUACGGGAGGCAGCAGUGGGGAAUCUUGGACAAUGGGGACAACCCUGAUCCAGCCAUGCCGCGUGAGUGAAGAAGGCCCUAGGGUCGUAAGCUCUUUCGCCUGUGAAGAUAAUGACGGUAGCAGGUAAAGAAACCCCGGCUAACUCCGUGCCAGCAGCCGCGGUAAUACGGAGGGGGUUAGCGUUGUUCGGAAUUACUGGGCGUAAAGCGCACGUAGGCGGAUCGGAAAGUUGGGGGUGAAAUCCCGGGGCUCAACCCCGGAACUGCCUCCAAAACUAUCGGUCUAGAGUUCGAGAGAGGUGAGUGGAAUUCCGAGUGUAGAGGUGAAAUUCGUAGAUAUUCGGAGGAACACCAGUGGCGAAGGCGGCUCA
This 643-nucleotide ribosomal RNA is filed under the name uncultured Ruegeria sp. RNAcentral describes it as "bacterial SSU rRNA". It matches the Rfam family "Bacterial small subunit ribosomal RNA", at positions 38 to 728 of the family's 1533-position model. The record is from RNAcentral. Lineage: Bacteria; Pseudomonadati; Pseudomonadota; Alphaproteobacteria; Rhodobacterales; Roseobacteraceae.